GGGGAAUAUUGCACAAUGGGCGAAAGCCUGAUGCAGCAACGCCGCGUGAGUGAUGAAGGCCUUCGGGUUGUAAAGCUCUGUCUUCUGGGACGAUAAUGACGGUACCAGAGGAGGAAGCCACGGCUAACUACGUGCCAGCAGCAGCGGUAAUACGUAGGUGGCAAGCGUUGUCCGGAUUUACUGGGCGCAAAGGAUGCGUAGGCGGGUACUUAAGUCAGAUGUGAAAAUCCCGGGCUUAACCGGGGAACUGCAUUUGAAACUGGGUAUCUAGAGUGCGGGAGAGGAAAGUGGAAUUCCUAGUGUAGCGGUGAAAUGCGUAGAGAUUAGGAAGAACACCAGUGGCGAAGGCGACUUUCUGGACCGUAACUGACGCUGAGGCAUGAAAGCGUGGGGAGCAAACA
Molecule: ribosomal RNA, 401 nt
Filed under: uncultured bacterium
Lineage: Bacteria
Description: bacterial SSU rRNA
Rfam family: Bacterial small subunit ribosomal RNA
Source: RNAcentral